RNAcentral lists this ribosomal RNA (376 nucleotides) under uncultured organism. RNAcentral describes it as "bacterial SSU rRNA". It matches the Rfam family "Bacterial small subunit ribosomal RNA", at positions 45 to 434 of the family's 1533-position model. The record is from RNAcentral.
UGCCUUAGGCAUGCAAGUCGAACGGGUUAGGCGCAAGCCUAAUCAGUGGCAGACGGGUGAGUAACGCGUAGGAAUCUACCCUAAAGUGUGGAAUAGCUGGCCGAAAGGCCAAUUAAUACCGCAUGUUAUUCUGCUUUGCAGAAUCAAAGAGCAUAACUGCUCGCUUUAGGAUGAGCCUGCGUCCUAUCAGCUAGUUGGUAAGGUAAUGGCUUACCAAGGCUAUGACGGGUAGCUAAUCUGAGAGGAUGACCAGCCACAAUGUUACUGAGAUACGGAACAUACACCUACGGGUGGCAGCAACCGGGAUCUUNCGCAAUGGACGAAAGUCUGACGCAGCGACGCUGUGAGUGAUGAAGGCCUUAGGGUUGUAAACUCC